AUGGUCAUCUCAUUUGGUGGUCACCGCCAAGAGCAAAACCAAAAACCAAGGACGGUACUCUUCUUGCCGGGGAAAUCGCUCCUCUGCCCUGCCUGUCUAUACAUGGAUGAUGAGGAUGGCAAAGGGAAGAUAUAUCUGCUUGCUAACAUCGGCAACGCCGGAAAGCCAUCAGCGGUGCUAGCUUUCGAUGUCGACGACGAGUCAAUAUCCACCAUUGCCCUGCCGCCGGGCAAGCACGUCCAAUCGAGGCUGAUGGAGAUACGGGGCCGCGUCUGCGUUUGCAUGCGGGACGUCGCCAAGCAGAACAUCCUGCUCUGGUCGCUCACGCCGGCUGGCUCCGGCCACCGGUGGGAGCAGCUGUGCGUCCUCGCGGACCACCGAAGCGCUUCGGCCCCUUGGACCAGAGCUUUGCACGGCGCAUGGGACUGCGACGGCAUCCUGUUCGCUCUGUUCCGCGGUUCAAUCGCCUGCAUGUACGACCUCCGGGAACAAGGCACGGGUACAGCUGUGACGGCGAGGACAUGGAGGAUCGCCGUCCCGCAGCCAGAGUCGACCAAAGGCCCGCAAAAAAUCUUGAGCGGGAAGAUCCUAUGGGGUUACCAGCCGACGCUCCUAUCUCCGGAAGGAAUUUUCGGUGACGCUGCGUGGUACGGCGGUGGUGGUGCCUUAAGGCCUCUCCGACGAUCUAACCGACGAAAUGGGAGUGCCGCGGCGCAGGCGCAGCACGACUUACCCGGGAUGACAGAUGUGCUAGUAGAGAUGAUGGAAAAGCUGCCGAAUGGCAUAAAGGAUUUGAUUGCUCCGGACCAAUCCAAGAAGGCAUAUGUUGGAGUAGGAGUAUAG
Molecule: ribosomal RNA, 843 nt
Filed under: Triticum aestivum (bread wheat)
Lineage: Eukaryota; Viridiplantae; Streptophyta; Magnoliopsida; Poales; Poaceae
Description: partial small subunit ribosomal RNA
Source: RNAcentral